AGAACGAACGCUGGCGGCAGGCCUAACACAUGCAAGUCGAACGCCCCGCAAGGGGGAGUGGCAGACGGGUGAGUAACGCGUGGGAACGUGCCCUUCGGUUCGGAAUAACUCAGGGAAACUUGAGCUAAUACCGGAUACGUCCGUAAGGAGAAAGAUUUAUCGCCGAAGGAUCGGCCCGCGUCGGAUUAGCUAGUUGGUGAGGUAACGCCCACAAGGCGACGAUCCGUAGCUGGUCUGGAGAGGAUGAUCAGCCACACUGGGACUGAGACACGGCCCAGACUCCUACGGGAGGCAGCAGGUGGGGAAUAGUUGGACAAGUGGGCGCAAGCCUGAUCCAGCCAUGCCGCGUGAGUGAAGAAGGCCUUAGGGUUAGUAAAG
This 378-nucleotide ribosomal RNA is filed under the name uncultured soil bacterium. Its description in RNAcentral is "bacterial SSU rRNA". It matches the Rfam family "Bacterial small subunit ribosomal RNA", at positions 26 to 430 of the family's 1533-position model. The record is from RNAcentral.